RNAcentral lists this ribosomal RNA (301 nucleotides) under uncultured bacterium. RNAcentral describes it as "partial 16S ribosomal RNA". It matches the Rfam family "Bacterial small subunit ribosomal RNA", at positions 509 to 807 of the family's 1533-position model. The record is from RNAcentral.
CAGCCGCCACGGGAAUACGUAGGUGGCAAGCGUUGUCCGGAAUUAUUGGGCGUAAAGGGCUCGCAGGCGGUUUCUUAAGUCUGAUGUGAAAGCCCCCGGCUCAACCGGGGAGGGUCAUUGGAAACUGGGAAACUUGAGUGCAGAAGAGGAGAGUGGAAUUCCACGUGUAGCGGUGAAAUGCGUAGAGAUGUGGAGGAACACCAGUGGCGAAGGCGACUCUCUGGUCUGUAACUGACGCUGAGGAGCGAAAGCGUGGGGAGCGAACAGGAUUAGAUACCAGGGUAGUCCCUGUCUCUUAUAC